GUGGGGAAUUUUGCGCAAUGGGCGCAAGCCUGACGCAGCAACGCCGCGUGAGUGAAGAAGGCCCUUGGGUCGUAAAGCUCUUUUCUGGGGGAAGAUGAUGACGGUACCCCAGGAAUAAGCACCGGCUAACUCCGUGCCAGCAGCCGCGGUAAGACGGAGGGUGCAAGCGUUGUUCGGAUUUACUGGGCGUAAAGGGCGUGUAGGCGGAAUUGCAAGCCGGGGGUGAAAGGCCUGGGCUCAACCCAGGACGGUCUUCCGGAACUGCAGCUCUAGAGAGAGUCAGAGGCAGGUGGAAUUCCAGGUGUAGAGGUGAAAUUCGUAGAUAUCUGGAGGAACACCGGCGGCGAAGGCGGCCUGCUGGGGCUCUUCUGACGCUGAGGCGCGAAAGCGUGGGUAGCAAACAGG
This 405-nucleotide ribosomal RNA is filed under the name uncultured bacterium. RNAcentral's name for it is "bacterial SSU rRNA". It matches the Rfam family "Bacterial small subunit ribosomal RNA", at positions 354 to 776 of the family's 1533-position model. The record is from RNAcentral.